This 74-nucleotide non-coding RNA is filed under the name zebrafish metagenome. Its description in RNAcentral is "Glycine riboswitch". It matches the Rfam family "Glycine riboswitch aptamer", at positions 11 to 84 of the family's 94-position model. From Rfam's summary of the family: This family represents the bacterial glycine riboswitch. The record is from RNAcentral.
UUCGGGAGAAUCCGGUGAAAGCCGGUGCCGAAGGAGCAACCGCCCCGGUAAACUCUCAGGCGCAAGGACCGUUC